Molecule: transfer RNA, 72 nt
Filed under: Odocoileus virginianus texanus
Lineage: Eukaryota; Metazoa; Chordata; Mammalia; Artiodactyla; Cervidae
Also listed under: 7 other names
Rfam family: tRNA
About the family: Transfer RNA (tRNA) molecules are approximately 80 nucleotides in length. Their secondary structure includes four short double-helical elements and three loops (D, anti-codon, and T loops).
Source: Rfam by way of RNAcentral
UCCCUGGUGGCUCAGAGGUUAAAGCAUCUGCCUGCAAUGCGGGAGACCUGGGUUUGAUCCCUGGGUGGGGAA